This 2268-nucleotide ribosomal RNA is filed under the name freshwater metagenome. RNAcentral's name for it is "bacterial LSU rRNA". It matches the Rfam family "Bacterial large subunit ribosomal RNA", at positions 37 to 2334 of the family's 2925-position model. The record is from RNAcentral.
CCUCAUCGAGGUAAUUGGCAUUGACUUAUGGCACGCUGUUGAGUUCUCAAGGUACGGGGAGGAGCAAAUAUCUUUUGAUCCGUACAUUUCCGAAUGGGGAAACCUGAUACAUUGAAGAUGUAUCGUCGAAAGACGCGAACGCGCUGAACUGAAACAUCUAAGUAGGCGUAGGAAGAGAAAACAAUAGUGAUUUCCGUAGUAGUGGCGAGCGAACUGGAAAUAGCCCAAACCGUAAUUGUUUCGGCAGUUACGGGGUUGUAGGACUGCAAUAUCCGAAAGAAGUUAUAGAGGAACAGGUUUGGAAAGGCCGACCGUAGAGUGUGAUAGUCACGUAUUCGAAAUAAUUUUUGUAGGUAGCAGUAUCCUGAGUAGGGCGGGACAUGUGGAAUCCUGUCUGAAUCCACCAGAACCAUCUGGUAAGGCUAAAUACUCCUGAGAGACCGAUAGUGCACUAGUACCGUGAGGGAAAGGUGAAAAGAACCCUGAAUAAGGGAGUGAAAAAGACCCUGAAACCGUAUGUCUACAAGCGGUCGAAGCCUUCGGGCGACGGCGUGCCUUUUGCAUAAUGAUCCUACGAGUUACUCCUCAUUGGCAAGGUUAAGAAUUUAAGGUUCGGAGCCGAAGCGAAAGCGAGUCUGAAUAGGGCGCAUAGUCAGUGGGGGUAGACGCGAAACCUUGUGAUCUACCCAUGGUCAGGUUGAAGUUCCGGUAACACGGAAUGGAGGACCGAACGAGUAAACGUUGAAAAGUUUUUCGAUGAACUGUGGGUAGGGGUGAAAGGCCAAUCAAACUGGGAAAUAGCUCGUACUCCCCGAAAUGCAUUUAGGUGCAGCGUUGUGGUAGAGUUUUAUAGAGGUAGAGCUACUGAUAGGACGCGGGGGUUUCACCACCUACCAAAUCCUGACAAACUCCGAAUGCUAUAAAAUAUACACAGCAGUGAGGGUAUGGGUGCUAAGGUCCAUAUCCGAGAGGGAAAGAACCCAGACCAUCAGCUAAGGUCCCCAAAUAUACGCUAAGUUGAUCAAACGUUGUGCGGUUGCAUAGACAGCUAGGAUGUUGGCUUGGAAGCAGCCAUUCAUUUAAAGAGUGCGUAACAGCUCACUAGUCGAGCGAUCGUGCGUGGAUAAUAAACGGGCAUUAAGCGUAUUACCGAAGCUAUGGAUUCAGUGUAAACUGUCUGGUAGGGGAGCAUUCUAACGACGUAGAAGGUGUAAGGUGACUUAUGCUGGAGUUUUUAGAAAAGCAAAUGUAGGAAUGAGUAACGAUAAUGCAGGCGAGAAACCUGCACACCGUAAGACUAAGGUUUCCUUGGCGACGCUAAUCGUCCAAGGGUUAGUCGGGACCUAAGGCGUACCCGAAGGGGGAAGUCGAUGGAUAACUGGUUAAUAUUCCAGUACUUGUUAUUACUGCGAUGGGGUGACGGAGUGAUGAAAGAACCGCGAACUGACGGAAUAGUUCGUUAAAGCCAGUACCUAUAGAGACCGUAGGCAAAUCCGCGGACUUUGGGGAAGGUGAUAGUACCGAGCGGCUUCGGCCAAUUGGAUAGUGUUCCUAAGGGCUUCCAAGAAAAACCUCUAAGCUUCAGGUUAUAACAACUCGUACCGCAAACCGACACAGGUAGUCAAGGAGAGAAUCCUAAGGUGCUCGAGUGAUUCAUGGCUAAGGAACUAGGCAAAAUGGUCUCGUAACUUCGGGAGAAGAGACGCCAGCGCAAGCUGGCCGCAGUGAAUAGGCCCAGGCGACUGUUUAACAAAAACACAUGGCUUUGCAAAAUCGAAAGAUGAAGUAUAAGGCCUGACACCUGCCCGGUGCUGGAAGGUUAAGAGGAGAUGUUAGUUUCGGCGAAGCAUUGAAUUGAAGCCCCAGUAAACGGCGGCCGUAACUAUAACGGUCCUAAGGUAGCGAAAUUCCUUGUCGGGUAAGUUCCGACCUGCACGAAUGGUGUAACGAUCUGGGCACUGUCUCAGCCAUGAGCUCGGUGAAAUUGUAGUAUCGGUGAAGAUGCCGAUUACCCGCAACGGGACGAAAAGACCCCGUGAACCUUUACUAUAGCUUCACAUUGACAUUGGGUAAUUCAUGUGUAGGAUAGGUGGGAGACGUUGAGGCUGCAUCGCUAGGUGUAGAUUAGUCGUCCUUGAAAUACCACCCUUGGAUUAUCUGAUGUCUAAUCCCGCAGAGCGGGAGACAUUGUGUGGUGGGUAGUUUGACUGGGGUGGUCGCCUCCAAAAGAGUAACGGAGGCUCCUAAAGGUACCCUCAGCUAUCGUGA